CACGUAGGGUGCGAGCGUUGUCCGGAAUUAUUGGGCGUAAAGAGCUCGUAGGCGGUGUGUCGCGUCGGCCGUGAAAACCUGCAGCUUAACUGUGGGCGUGCGGUCGAUACGACCGCCCUGGAGCGACGUAGGGGGAACUGGAACUUCCGGUGGAGCGGUGAAAUGCGUUGAGAUCGGAAGGAACGCCCGUGGCGAAGGCAGCUCGCUGGGACGGUACUGACGCUGAGGCGCGAAAGCGUGGGGAGCAAACAGG
RNAcentral lists this ribosomal RNA (253 nucleotides) under uncultured bacterium. RNAcentral describes it as "partial 16S ribosomal RNA". It matches the Rfam family "Bacterial small subunit ribosomal RNA", at positions 524 to 776 of the family's 1533-position model. The record is from RNAcentral.